RNAcentral lists this ribosomal RNA (464 nucleotides) under uncultured bacterium. RNAcentral's name for it is "bacterial SSU rRNA". It matches the Rfam family "Bacterial small subunit ribosomal RNA", at positions 28 to 507 of the family's 1533-position model. The record is from RNAcentral.
GACGAACGCUGGCGGCGUGCCUAACACAUGCAAGUCGAACGGGGUCAGCCCUUCGGGACUGACUUAGUGGCGAACGGGUGAGUAACGCGUGAGAAACCUACCUUUCAGUGGGGGACAACAGUUGGAAACGACUGCUAAUACCGCAUAAUGUUAUUUGGGGGCAUCCCCGGAUAACCAAAGAUUUAUUGCUGAAAGAUGGUCUCGCGUCUGAUUAGCUAGUUGGUGGGGUAACGGCCUACCAAGUCGACGAUCAGUAGCCGACCUGAGAGGGUGAUCGGCCACAUUGGGACUGAGACACGGCCCAAACUCCUACGGGAGGCAGCAGUGGGGAAUAUUGGGCAAUGGGGGGAACCCGUGACCCAGCAACGCCGCGUGGAGGAAGAAGGUUUUCGGAUCGUAAACUCCUGUCCUCAGGGAAGAGCAGAAGACGGUACCUGAGGAGGAAGCCCUGGCUAACUAACGUG